CCUACGGGGCGCAGCAGUGAGGAAUAUUGGUCAAUGGACGCAAGUCUGAACCAGCCAUGCCGCGUGCAGGAAGACGGCUCUAUGAGUUGUAAACUGCUUUUGUACGAGGGUAAACGCAGAUACGCGUAUCUGUCUGAAAGUAUCGUACGAAUAAGGAUCGGCUAACUCCGUGCCAGCAGCCGCGGUAAUAUGGAGGAUUCAAGCGUUAUCCGGAUUUAUUGGGUUUAAAGGGUGCGUAGGCGGUCGGAUAAGUUAGAGGUGAAAUCCCGAGGCUCAACUUCGGACUUGCCUCUGAUACUGUUCGGAUAGAGAGUAGUUGCGGUAGGCGGAAUGUAUGGUGUAGCGGGGAAAUGCUUAGAGAGCAUACAGAACACCGAUUGCGAAGGCAGCUUACCAAGCUACUUCUGACGUUGAGGCACGAAAGCGUGGGGAGCAAACAGGAUUAGAUACCCCAGUAGUC
This 460-nucleotide ribosomal RNA is filed under the name uncultured bacterium. RNAcentral's name for it is "partial 16S ribosomal RNA". It matches the Rfam family "Bacterial small subunit ribosomal RNA", at positions 338 to 795 of the family's 1533-position model. The record is from RNAcentral.